CAGUCGCCGCGGUAAUACGAAGGGUGCAAGCGUUAAUCGGAAUUACUGGGCGUAAAGCGUGCGUAGGUGGUGGUUUAAGUCCGUUGUGAAAGCCCUGGGCUCAACCUGGGAAUUGCAGUGGAUACUGGGUCACUAGAGUGUGGUAGAGGAUAGUGGAAUUUCCGGUGUAGCAGUGAAAUGCGUAGAGAUCGGAAGGAACAUCUGUGGCGAAGGCGACUAUCUGGGCCAACACUGACACUGAGGCACGAAAGCGUGGGGAGCAAACAGGAUUAGAUACCCGAGUAGUCCCUGUCUCUUAUAC
Molecule: ribosomal RNA, 301 nt
Filed under: uncultured bacterium
Lineage: Bacteria
Description: partial 16S ribosomal RNA
Rfam family: Bacterial small subunit ribosomal RNA
Source: RNAcentral